RNAcentral lists this ribosomal RNA (444 nucleotides) under Fusarium sp. P10E5. RNAcentral's name for it is "eukaryotic LSU rRNA". The stretch from base 80 to 237 matches the Rfam family "5.8S ribosomal RNA". The record is from RNAcentral. Lineage: Eukaryota; Fungi; Ascomycota; Sordariomycetes; Hypocreales; Nectriaceae.
AAAAAGGGACGGCCCGCCCGAGGACCCCUAAACUCUGUUUUUAGUGGAACUUCUGAGUAAAACAAACAAAUAAAUCAAAACUUUCCAACAACGGAUGCUCUUGGUUCUGGCAUCGAUGAAGAACGCAGCAAAAUGCGAAUAAGGUAAUGUGUAAUUGCAGAAUUCAGUGAAUCAUCGAAUCUUUGAACGCACAUUGCGCCCGCCAGUAUUCUGGCGGGCAUGCCUGUUCGAGCGUCAUUUCAACCCUCAAGCUCAGCUUGGUGUUGGGACUCGCGGUAACCCGCGUUCCCCAAAUCGAUUGGCGGUCACGUCGAGCUUCCAUAGCGUAGUAAUCAUACACCUCGUUACUGGUAAUCGUCGCGGCCACGCCGUAAAACCCCAACUUCUGAAUGUUGACCUCGGAUCAGGUAGGAAUACCCGCUGAACUUAAGCAUAUCAAUAAGG